UACGGAGGGGGCAAGCGUUGUUCGGAAUUACUGGGCGUAAAGCGUGCGCAGGCGGCUUUGCAAGACAGAUGUGAAAUCCCCGGGCUUAACCUGGGAACUGCAUUUGUGACUGCAAGGCUGGAGUGCGGCAGAGGGGGAUGGAAUUCCGCGUGUAGCAGUGAAAUGCGUAGAUAUGCGGAGGAACACCGAUGGCGAAGGCAAUCCCCUGGGCCUGCACUGACGCUCAUGCACGAAAGCGUGGGGAGCAAACAGG
Molecule: ribosomal RNA, 253 nt
Filed under: uncultured bacterium
Lineage: Bacteria
Description: partial 16S ribosomal RNA
Rfam family: Bacterial small subunit ribosomal RNA
Source: RNAcentral